UCCUUGAAAUCAAAACCCUAAAAUCACUUGAUGAUAUAGAAAAUAACUUGAAUCAGAAAAUAUAUGUUCAGAACCAUAUAAUAGACAUGAAAUUAACAAGAAUUCAUACCGCAAUCAAUUGAUUCAGAAAUUGACUUGAAAAUUUCUGAUUGAAGAAUCGCGGGAUGCGGAAGAUGCACACAAAUGAUCAUUGAAGAAUCGGCGGAGAAAGGAGAAACACGAGAGAUUGUGAGUUCGAAGUGUGAUUUUGGAAGAAUUGGUGAGAAUGCGAGAGAUUUUGGAAGAAUCGGAAGUGUAAUGGGUGAUUGGGUGUGAUGAAAAUGGGAGAAAAAUAGAUUCUUGUUUCUUGAAG
This 352-nucleotide long non-coding RNA is filed under the name Trifolium pratense (red clover). RNAcentral describes it as "long non-coding RNA (TPRA_LNC012346)". The record is from RNAcentral. Lineage: Eukaryota; Viridiplantae; Streptophyta; Magnoliopsida; Fabales; Fabaceae.